GACGAACGCUGGCGGCGUGCUUAACACAUGCAAGUCGAACGGAAAGGCCCUGCUUUUGUGGGGUGCUCGAGUGGCGAACGGGUGAGUAACACGUGAGUAACCUGCCCUUGACUUUGGGAUAACUUCAGGAAACUGGGGCUAAUACCGGAUAGGAGCUCCUGCUGCAUGGUGGGGGUUGGAAAGUUUCGGCGGUUGGGGAUGGACUCGCGGCUUAUCAGCUUGUUGGGGGGGUAGUGGCUUACCAAGGCUUUGACGGGUAGCCGGCCUGAGAGGGUGACCGGCCACAUUGGGACUGAGAUACGGCCCAGACUCCUACGGGAGGCAGCAGUGGGGAAUAUUGCACAAUGGGCGGAAGCCUGAUGCAGCAACGCCGCGUGCGGGAUGACGGCCUUCGGGUUGUAAACCGCUUUCGCCUAUGACGAAGCGUGAGUGACGGUAAUGGGUAAAGAAGCACCGGCUAACUACGUG
RNAcentral lists this ribosomal RNA (468 nucleotides) under uncultured bacterium. RNAcentral's name for it is "partial 16S ribosomal RNA". It matches the Rfam family "Bacterial small subunit ribosomal RNA", at positions 28 to 507 of the family's 1533-position model. The record is from RNAcentral.